RNAcentral lists this ribosomal RNA (501 nucleotides) under uncultured bacterium. RNAcentral's name for it is "bacterial SSU rRNA". It matches the Rfam family "Bacterial small subunit ribosomal RNA", at positions 355 to 870 of the family's 1533-position model. The record is from RNAcentral.
UGGGGAAUCUUGGACAAUGGGGGCAACCCUGAUCCAGCCAUGCCGCGUGAGUGAUGAAGGCCUUAGGGUCGUAAAGCUCUUUCGCCUGUGAAGAUAAUGACGGUAGCAGGUAAAGAAACCCCGGCUAACUCCGUGCCAGCAGCCGCGGUAAUACGGAGGGGGUUAGCGUUGUUCGGAAUUACUGGGCGUAAAGCGCACGUAGGCGGACCAGAAAGUUGGGGGUGAAAUCCCGGGGGCUCAACCCCGGAACUGCCUCCAAAACUAUUGGUCUAGAGUUCGAGAGAGGUGAGUGGAAUUCCAAGUGUAGAGGUGAAAUUCGUAGAUAUUUGGAGGAACACCAGUGGCGAAGGCGGCUCACUGGCUCGAUACUGACGCUGAGGUGCGAAAAGUGUGGGGAGCAAAACAGGAUUAGAUACCCUGGUAGUCCACACCGUAAAACGAUGAAUGCCAGUCGUCGGGUAGCAUGCUAUUCGGUGACACACCUAACGGAUUAAGCAUUCC